This 253-nucleotide ribosomal RNA is filed under the name uncultured bacterium. RNAcentral describes it as "partial 16S ribosomal RNA". It matches the Rfam family "Bacterial small subunit ribosomal RNA", at positions 524 to 776 of the family's 1533-position model. The record is from RNAcentral.
UACGUAGGAUGCAAGCGUUGUCCGGAAUUAUUGGGCGUAAAGCGUGCGCAGGCGGUUGUGCAAGACCGAUGUGAAAUCCCCGGGCUUAACCUGGGAAUGGCAUUGGUGACUGCACGGCUAGAGUGUGUCAGAGGGGGGUAGAAUUCCACGUGUAGCAGUGAAAUGCGUAGAGAUGUGGAGGAAUACCGAUGGCGAAGGCAGCCCCCUGGGAUAACACUGACGCUCAUGCACGAAAGCGUGGGGAGCAAACAGG